AUUGAACGCUGGCGGCGUGCCUAACACAUGCAAGUCGAGCGGUAACAGGUGUAGCAAUACAUGCUGACGAGCGGCGAACGGGUGAGUAAUGCUUUGGAAUCUUCCCAGUAGGUAGGGGAAUAACCAGUCGAAAGAUUGGCUAAUACCGCAUACGUCUGUAAAGGGAAAGCGGGGAUCGCAAGACCUCGCGCUAUUGGAUGAGCCAAAGUCGGAUUAGCUAGUUGGNGGGGUAAUGGCCUACCAAGGCGACAAUCCGUAGCUGGUCUGAGAGGACGACAGCCAACACCGGAACUGAGACACGGUCCGGACUCCUACGGG
This 318-nucleotide ribosomal RNA is filed under the name uncultured bacterium. Its description in RNAcentral is "bacterial SSU rRNA". It matches the Rfam family "Bacterial small subunit ribosomal RNA", at positions 30 to 345 of the family's 1533-position model. The record is from RNAcentral.